CUGGUCUCGAACUCCUGACCUCGUGAUCCACCCACCUCGACCUCCCAAAGUGCUGAGAUUACAGAUGUGAACCACCACACCGGGUCAAAAGCAGUGCACAUUAUCUUUAGCAAGCUAACACAGAAACAGAAAACCAAACACCGUGUGUUCUCACUUAUAACUGGGAGCUGAAUGUGAGAACACAUGGAUAAAUGGGGUUAGGGGGCAAGGACAACAGACACUGGAGCCUGUUGGAGGGUGGGGGUUGGGAGGAGGGAGAGCAUCAGGAAGAGUAGCUAAUGGAUGCUGGGCUUAGUACUUGGGUGAUGGGAUGAUCUGUGCAUCAAACCACCAUGACACAGGUUUACCUAUGAGACAAACCUGCACAUCCUGCACAUGUACCCCUGAACUUAAAAUAAAAGUUGGAAAUAAAAAAUGUAAAAAGGAAAGAAAAUAAACAACAACAACAAAAAGAACGGUGCAAAUCUAUACCACGCUCAUUAUAAACAAAAGAAUAACAGUGAAAACAUGAAUAUCCGACAAAAGUAAACAGCAAAAGAACGCUGUAUGUUAACUAGAGGAGUAAUAUCCUAGCAUCUACCUAGAAUCAAAUGGAACUGUUUUUCCCUGAACUGGCCUCCUUGGGUGGCCGACCAGGGCCAGGUGAAGAGAAGAAUUCUGGGAGUGAAAUGUCCAUUUAUUCCCUCUUGUUUUGGUCUCUGUAAGGCAUAAGAAGUUAAAAGCAAGAUCUGAUCCCUGGCGUUUUCCAGGAACUCAAAAGAGGUGUAGGAGGAGAGAAGCUCAAUUAUCACCCUGGUCUCCUGGAGUAUCCCAGGCACAGUCCCAAGAGUUCAGCUUUUCAUACUCGAGUUCCUGGGUCCUGAAGGCCUUUUUGGGGAAAGUACUGAUGUUCGUGUCAAGGUUGGGAAGAAAGGGUUUGGGAGGAACCAAGCAACAGGGAGGCAAAGAGAAGACAUCAACAAGCGAGGCAAGAACUUUCCACAGGCUCACACUGGAUACAGGACCAGAGACAAGAAGCUGGUAGAGACGGGGUUUCACCAUGUUGGCUAGGCUGAUCUUGAACUACUGACCUCACAUGAUCCACCAGCUUCGGCCUCCCAAAGUGCUGGGAUUACAGGCGUGAGCCCGGGCCCCGGAGAGGAAUUUAUCUAAGCCGAGACUUUGCAGAGACUGUCUUUGAAGCAGCCAGUGGGUCUGGUUGGUCUCUGCGUUUCUACAUAUUUGGCCCUAAAACCGGCGCGACUUUUAUCGUCUCUGCUGUCGGAUCCCUGCAAUACAAAGAGCGAAGCCUAUAUGGGUUCCCGAUGUCACAUCGCAGCUACCGCAUUGGAGGGUUAAGAGCCGCUGACAAAUCUCUUUCGGGAAGGGGCUGUUUUCCUCAGAAGAAGAGUUCCAAACAAAAGAUCUACUACCCUGAGAAGCAGUGAAGUGCUCCUGGGGCCCACCAAGGCCACACAAGUCAAGGAGUGGAUGGCCUUGCCCCAGCUAUGGCUCAGAUCACCUUUGCAGGAUGACAUCUUGUGGGGAGAUGGUCAUCAGAGACAGGGCCAUGGAAGACGCUGUCAGGAGGAGGCACAGAGGAAAGGCUAUGGGAGCACAAAGCAAGAAAGUGGCCUUCUGCAAGCCAGGAAGAGAGGCCUCCCCAGAAACCAACUCUACCAGCACAUUGAUCUUGGACUUUUGGCCUCCAGAUUAUUGAGAAAAUAAAAGUCUGCUGUUAAACCACCCAACCUUUGGUAUCUUUCUAUGGCAGCCUGAGCUGACUAACACCCUUGGCAGGACACAGGUGGAGGAACUGGUAAUCUUCUCAGGGCUUUGCCUGAAAUGGUGUUGUGAAAUGUUCCAGCAAAGCCCAUUUAGGAGAGCCUAUAUGGACAAGGAUUCUUGCUGCACUUUGUGUGGGUAAUCAGGCCAACUAUAUGGGACUGAAGCUUCUUUUGCAGGUAGGUUGGUCCUGCUGUGUUUUGUCUUUAGUGGAAAUGGGGAACUGGAGAGAGGAAGAUUGUGUUUCAGGAGAAACUACAGUAUUAGAUGAAUGUUUGAUUCCUGGGUGGCCAUGCGGUCACUCAUGGUGUGGAGCCGCUCAGGAUGCCCCUUCUCCUCAUGACAAAGCCAGACAGAUGCAUGACCAGAUUCCCCAUGAUUGAGGAACUGACAAAUAGAAAGUGGGGGCUGAAAUCGACCCAAUAGUCCCACAUACAGUGUUUUUGGAUAGACUUAAAAAUGGACCCUUCUGGUCUUAAAGCUUGAAACUUACAUUUGUUUUAUCUGAGUUCCUUCCUCAGGAAAGGACCCUCAGCCUCUCAAAAAGCAUCAUAGACCUGAAACUCAGCAGAUCACAGCAUCCAGACAAUGACUUGCCAGUCCCUUCACUCAUCAUGAGUGCUUCCUCACCCUUCCCUAGUUCCUCUUUUCCCACACACAGUUACGUUUCUUCCCUGCUGUAUAAACCCCUCAUUUUAGUUGAUCAGGGAGAUUGAUUUGAGACUGAUCUUCCAUCUCCUCAGCUGCAGCACCCAAUUAAAGCCUUCUUCCUCGGCAAUACUCAAUGUCUCAAUGAUUGGCUUUCUGUGAGCUGAGCAGCAGGGCCUAGAUGGAACUCCUGGGCUUUCAGUAACAAUACAUGUGCACUUUUAAACACCGCAAUUAAUGGGUCAUGAGAUAUUGAGAAAUUGGAAUGGCAUCAACUUGGCCAAUUCUGAGAAAACACACUGUGCUUAAAUGUUAGGGCCCUGCCUCCUGACCUCGACAGUAUAUGGUUGAUUUUGAGUCAUAGCAGGUGAGUAUGGCCUGGUUUCAGGGUUUUAUAGAAAUAUAAAAUAUGGCUGAUCGCAUUUAUUUUAAAUCCAACAAAUCUCCAUUUCUGGUGAGAAAAUUUUUUUAAAACCAACCAAACAAACAAACAUAGAAGAAUAUGAAUAAAAAAAUAAGGGAUUCCCUGCUUCCCAAUC
Gorilla gorilla gorilla (western lowland gorilla) is the source of this 2951-nucleotide long non-coding RNA. RefSeq lists it as uncharacterized. Lineage: Eukaryota; Metazoa; Chordata; Mammalia; Primates; Hominidae. The transcript has 6 exons. The record is from RefSeq and is a predicted model, not a curated record.